CGCUGCGGCGGCCUAAUACAUGCAAGUCGAACGGUAAUUUUCUCUGCAAAGGGAAAAACGAGUGGCGCACGGGUGCGUAACACGUAUGCAACCUACCCUGUACUGGGGCAUAACCCUGAGAAAUCGGGGCUAAUUCUCCAUGGUAUUGACUUACGGCAUCGUAAGUUGAUUAAAGAUUUAUCGGUACGGGAUGGGCAUGCGCCCCAUUAGUUAGUUGGUGAGGUAACGGCUCACCAAGACUGUGAUGGGUAGGGGAUCUGAGAGGACUACCCCCCACACUGGUACUGAGACACGGACCAGACUCCUACGGGAGGCAGCAGUAAGGAAUAUUGGGCAAUGGAGGCAACUCUGACCCAGCCAUGCCGCGUGCAGGAAGACGGCCCUAUGGGUUGUAAACUGCUUUUCUGAGGGACUAAUUUCUCAUACGGGUUAUGAGAUUGCAUGUACUUCAGGAAUAAGCAUCGGCUAACUCCGUGCCAGCAGCCGCGGUAAUACGGAGGAUGCGAGCGUUAUCCGGACUUAUUGGGUUUAAAGGGUGCGUAGGCUGACAAGUAAGUCAGUGGUGAAAUGUCAUGGCUCAACCAUGGACUUGCCAUUGAUACUGUUUGUCUGGAGUGCAUUGGAAGUGAGCGGAACGAGGGGGUGUAGCGGUGAAAUGCAUAGAUAUUCCUCAGAACGCCGAUAGCGCAGGCAGCUCACUACGAUAUAACUGACGCUGAGGCACGAAAGCGUGGGGAUCAAACAGGAUUA
This 750-nucleotide ribosomal RNA is filed under the name uncultured bacterium. Its description in RNAcentral is "bacterial SSU rRNA". It matches the Rfam family "Bacterial small subunit ribosomal RNA", at positions 34 to 780 of the family's 1533-position model. The record is from RNAcentral.